UCUCCGUAGGUGAACCUGCGGAGGGAUCAUUACUGAGUGAGGGCCUCCGGGCUCGACCUCCCACCCUUCUGUCGUCCGACCGCGUUGCUUCGGGGGCGACCCUGCCGUUCGCGGCGUGGGGCCCCGGAGCCCAUCAAACCCUGCGUAACUAAGUCGUCGGAGUUUAAACAAAUUAAACAAAACUUUCAACAACGGAUCUCUUGGUUCGGGCAUCGAUGAAGAACGCAGC
Molecule: unclassified non-coding RNA, 229 nt
Filed under: uncultured fungus
Lineage: Eukaryota; Fungi
Description: sequence contains ITS1, 5.8S rRNA gene
Rfam family: 5.8S ribosomal RNA (bases 181-229)
Source: RNAcentral